Molecule: ribosomal RNA, 253 nt
Filed under: uncultured bacterium
Lineage: Bacteria
Description: partial 16S ribosomal RNA
Rfam family: Bacterial small subunit ribosomal RNA
Source: RNAcentral
UACGUAGGGACCAAGCGUUGUUCGGAUUUACUGGGCGUAAAGGGAGCGUAGGCGGCAAUUCAAGUCAGUUGUGAAAUCUUCGAGCUUAACUCGGAACGGUCAACUGAUACUGCUUUGCUAGAGUACAGAAGGGGCAAUCGGAAUUCUUGGUGUAGCGGUGAAAUGCGUAGAUAUCAAGAGGAACACCUGAGGUGAAGACGGGUUGCUGGGCUGAUACUGACGCUGAGGCUCGAAAGCUAGGGGAGCGAACGGG